This 2004-nucleotide ribosomal RNA is filed under the name Streptobacillus moniliformis. Its description in RNAcentral is "bacterial SSU rRNA". The stretch from base 560 to 2004 matches the Rfam family "Bacterial small subunit ribosomal RNA". Lineage: Bacteria; Fusobacteriati; Fusobacteriota; Fusobacteriia; Fusobacteriales; Leptotrichiaceae. The record is from RNAcentral.
UGAGUUUCAUACUUGCGUACGUACUCCCCAGGCGGAUCACUUAUCGCUUUUGCUUCGGCACAGAGGCUUCACACCCCCACACCCAGUGAUCAUCGUUUACAGCUAGGACUACCAGGGUAUCUAAUCCUGUUUGCUCCCCUAGCUUUCGCACUUCAGCGUCAGUUUCUGUCCAGUGAGUUAUCUUCAUCAUCGGCAUUCCUACACAUAUCUACGAAUUUCACCUCUACUCGUGUAGUUCCACCCACCUUUCCAGUACUCUAGUCUGACAGUUUUGUAGGCAAGACUAUGGUUGAGCCACAGCUUUUCACCUUCAACUUGUUAGACCGCCUAGAUGCCCUUUAAGCCCAAUAAUUCCGGAUAACGCUUGCGACAUACGUAUUACCGCGGCUGCUGGCACGUAUUUAGCCGUCGCUUCUUCUGUAGGUACCGUCAUCUUCUUCUUCCCUACUGAAAGCACUUUACAAUCCGAAAACCUUCUUCGUGCACACAGAAUUGCUGGAUCAGAGUUUCCUCCAUUGUCCAAUAUUCCCCACUGCUGCCUCCCGUAGGAGUAAGGGCCGUAUCUCAGUCCCCUUGUGGCCGUUCACCCUCUCGGGCCGGCUACCUAUCAUAGCCCUUGGUAGGCCUUUACCACCAACUAGCUACAUUAGGUGAUGCAAACUCUCUUCUGAUAGCAAUCUCUCCUUUAUUUAUAGUAGAUGCCUACUGCUAAUAUAUGUAGUUUGCAUCCUAUUUCUUAUGGUUUGUUGGGUAAGGUCCUACCAAGGCUAUGAUAGGUUAGCCGGCCCGAGAGGGUGAACGGCCACAAGGGGACUGAGAUACGGCCCUUACUCCUACGGGAGGCAGCAGUGGGGAAUAUUGGACAAUGGAGGAAACUCUGAUCCAGCAAUUCUGUGUGCACGAAGAAGGUUUUCGGAUUGUAAAGUGCUUUCAGUAGGGAAGAAGAAGAUGACGGUACCUACAGAAGAAGCGACGGCUAAAUACGUGCCAGCAGCCGCGGUAAUACGUAUGUCGCAAGCGUUAUCCGGAAUUAUUGGGCUUAAAGGGCAUCUAGGCGGUCUAACAAGUUGAAGGUGAAAAGCUGUGGCUCAACCAUAGUCUUGCCUACAAAACUGUCAGACUAGAGUACUGGAAAGGUGGGUGGAACUACACGAGUAGAGGUGAAAUUCGUAGAUAUGUGUAGGAAUGCCGAUGAUGAAGAUAACUCACUGGACAGAAACUGACGCUGAAGUGCGAAAGCUAGGGGAGCAAACAGGAUUAGAUACCCUGGUAGUCCUAGCUGUAAACGAUGAUCACUGGGUGUGGGGGUGUGAAGCCUCUGUGCCGAAGCAAAAGCGAUAAGUGAUCCGCCUGGGGAGUACGUACGCAAGUAUGAAACUCAAAGGAAUUGACGGGGACCCGCACAAGUGGUGGAGCAUGUGGUUUAAUUCGACGCAACGCGAGGAACCUUACCAGGUCUUGACAUACUCGGAAUAAGAUGGAAGCAUCUUAGUGCCUUUGGGAACCGAGAUACAGGUGGUGCAUGGCUGUCGACAGCUCGUGUCGUGAGAUGUUGGGUUAAGUCCCGCAACGAGCGAAACCCCUAUCAUUAGUUGCCAUCAUUAAGUUGGGGACUCUAAUGAAACUGCCCGCGACGAGCGGGAGGAAGGUGGGGAUGACGUCAAGUCAUCAUGCCCCUUAUGAUCUGGGCUACACACGUGCUACAAUGGGUAGUACAAAGAGGAGCUAAGCAGUGAUGUGGAGCAAAUCUUCAAAGCUACUCUCAGUUCGGAUUGAAGUCUGCAACUCGACUUCAUGAAGUUGGAAUCACUAGUAAUCGCAAAUCAGCAAUGUUGCGGUGAAUACGUUCUCGGGUCUUGUACACACCGCCCGUCACACCACGAGAGUUAGUUGCACCUGAAGUUACUGGCCUAACCGUAAGGAGGGAAGUACCUAAGGUGUGAUUAGUGAUUGGGGUGAAGUCGUAACAAGGUAUCCGUACCGGAAGGUGCGGAUGGAUCACCU